GGAGGGGAGGGGGGAUAGUAGAGGAUAGGAAAGGCGGCAGAAUACAACAGACACUAGUAUGGCAAUAUGUAAAUCAAUGGAUGUGUAACUGAUGUGAUUCUGCAAUCUGUAUACAGGGUAAAAAUGGGAGUUCAUAACCCACUUGAAUCAAAGUGUGAAAUAUGAUAUAUCAAGAACUAUGUGAUGUUUUGAACAACCAACAACAAAAAUUUAAAAAAAAAAAAUCAUAUGUGAAUGGAAAAGAAAAAAAAAAGUAAGUUGGGCAAAUAAUCAUUUUAACAUAAAUUUUCCAAGUAUAGAAUCUCAUGCAGUGCACCCCUCCCACUCCAAAUACAAAACAAAGCAUUAAUGCAACCUGUUUCUAUACACAGUAUCUUGAUAACAUUUUAAAAAUCAUAAAUAGGUAAAAUACAAUAAGCUUUUAGCAAAUGUAAUCAUAAUUCACUAUUAUUUGACACCAUUGAAAUCAACUACCACUCAGCAAUUUUAGAGUAAUUUCUUUUUGUUUUCACCUUAUAAUUUUCAUAUUACUAUACUGGUAACAUGCUCAAAAUCCUUCCUGCAGUAAAUUAUUUUAUUAAUGGAUAUCUGUCCACCUUAAGACAAACUUCAUUCACAGAGAAAAAUGUAAGAAAGAAUGUAUAAAUCCUAUAUUCAGUUUACUGAUAGAUUUUAGCACUUGACUGAACACCAUAAAACUAAUCCAAAUAACUUUCUUUGGCUGAACACAACACAGAUCCUGUGUUCAUUUAUUGUGUCUACUGGCAAUUAACCAAACAGCUAAAGGAUAUGAUAUAAAAGUGAAUAUUGAGCUGGAGGUGUACCUUUGUGAUAGUAGAGUGUUCUUAGCUCACAAAAGGGCCUAUGUUAAAUCCAAAAAAAAAAAAAGAUGAAUGUAAUGUGAUAUUCUGCCCUUAUGUUGCUCAAAGUUUCCUGAAAGAAAUAUUUAUAAUACCAUAUGAAAAUGCUACAAAAGGUAUAAAGUACUUUGAAAAACACUGGAAGUAGAAGUCAAUGAGAACAUAUAAUCAAAUAAUUUUCUUUUGAAAUGAAACUUAUUUUUUUUUCUUUUUCUUUUUCUUUUUUUUUUUUUUUUUGAGAUUGGGGUGUUACUGUGUUGCCCAGGCUGGUCUUAAAUCUCCUGAACUCAAGGGAUCCUCUAAGGGCUGAGACUACAGGCCACCACACCCAGCUCAGAUUUCUUAUAGACUUACCAAAGGAGGUAGAAGGACAUUGGUGUUUGAACUGAAUUACAGUGUUAUCUGAGCAUUUUUACCCUUUAAAAUGAACACUGAUCUAAUCUGUAAUAGAAUCUUUGCUAAAAGGAAAACAGCUAUAAAGAAAAUAUUACAUCAAAGCUAAGUACUGGAGUUUAUUUGAAAUUUGAUAUUUUAUACAAAAUAACAAACCCUAUUAUAGAUUUCUAAAAUAAAGUAACUCAAUCUUUACAAAACAGUUGGCAUCCAUUUGUUCUCUUACUUUUUCUUUAAAAACUUAAGUGUGGUAGGUGGUAGUAUCUGAUUUUCAUAAGAAUCCUCUGUUGAUUCAACUUAUUUAUUCAGACAUUUACUGUGCCAACUUGCACUAGAAAUAGAAAUGCCUUGGGCUGGGAUUGUGGCUCAGUGGCAGAGCGCUCGCCUAGCUCGCCUAGCUCCUGUGAGGCCCUGGGUUCAAUCCACAGCACCACAUAAAAACAAGUAAAAUAAAGGUAUUGUGUCCAUCUACAACUAAAAAACAAAUUUUAAAAAAAGAAGAAAUAUAAAUGACUGUGGUCUAAAAAAAUUCUAGAAUGAACACAGAUCUUCUGCCUUCAGAUUCCCUCUGCCCUCCACAUUCUAACCCUUUAACAUAAAUCUAGUUAUUAAAAUAAUACAAAUCAUCUCAAAAAAAUAAUAUAAAAUUUUAUGUGUAUAUACAGAUAAUCUGUGAGGUCAUUGUUCUUUUCUGGGUAGACUUAAUAAUGUUUGUUUUCUCAUUUUGCAGUGUUAGAAUACGGGUCAAUUUUAAUUUUGGUAUGAUAUGGAAAAUGGCUCAUCUUUAUACAAGAAAUAGGAUUCUUUUGAUAUCUGGACAGUUGGAAACUUUCUAAAAUUAAGGAUUUUGUACUGUAUAUUCAACAACUGCAUAUUGUAUUCACAAAAAUGUAUUUGAAGUUUGUUAAUAUUAAAUACUUUUUUCCAAG
Molecule: long non-coding RNA, 2182 nt
Filed under: Marmota monax (woodchuck)
Lineage: Eukaryota; Metazoa; Chordata; Mammalia; Rodentia; Sciuridae
Source: RNAcentral